AUUGAACGCUGGCGGAAUGCUUUACACAUGCAAGUCGAACGGCAGCACGGGGGCAACCCUGGUGGCGAGUGGCGAACGGGUGAGUAAUACAUCGGAACGUGCCCAGUCGUGGGGGAUAACGUAGCGAAAGCUACGCUAAUACCGCAUACGAUCUACGGAUGAAAGCGGGGGAUCGCAAGACCUCGCGCGAUUGGAGCGGCCGAUGGCAGAUUAGGUAGUUGGUGGGGUAAAGGCUCACCAAGCCUUCGAUCUGUAGCUGGUCUGAGAGGACGACCAGCCACACUGGGACCGAGACACGGCCCAGACUCCUACGGGAGGCAGCAGUGGGGAAUUUUGGACAAUGGGCGAAAGCCUGAUCCAGCCAUUCCGCGUGCAGGAUGAAGGCCCUCGGGUUGUAAACUGCUUUUGUACGGAACGAAACGGCCUUUUCUAAUACAGAGGGCUAAUGACGGUACCGUAAGAAUAAGCACCGGCUAACUACGUGCCAGCAGCCGCGGUAAUGUCGA
RNAcentral lists this ribosomal RNA (506 nucleotides) under uncultured bacterium. Its description in RNAcentral is "bacterial SSU rRNA". It matches the Rfam family "Bacterial small subunit ribosomal RNA", at positions 30 to 528 of the family's 1533-position model. The record is from RNAcentral.